Molecule: ribosomal RNA, 792 nt
Filed under: uncultured archaeon
Lineage: Archaea
Description: bacterial SSU rRNA
Rfam family: Archaeal small subunit ribosomal RNA
Source: RNAcentral
ACUGCUCAGUAACACGUGGAUAACCUACCCAAGAGUCCGGGAUAACCCCGGGAAACUGGGGAUAAUACCGGAUAGGUCAAGCUUGCUGGAAGGCUGUUUGGCUGAAACCUCCGGGGCUUUUGGAUGGGUCUGCGGCUGAUUAGGUUGUUGCCGGCGUAACGUACCGUCAAGCCUGUAAUCAGUACGGGUUGUGGGAGCAAGAGCCCGGAGAUGGAUUCUGAGACACGAAUCCAGGCCCUACGGGGCGCAGCAGGCGCGAAAACUCUACAAUGCAGGCAACUGCGAUAGGGGAACAUCGAGUGGCGUCCAUAUUGGAUGUCUGUCCUCCCGCCUAAAAAGCGGGAGUUAGCAAGGGCCGGGCAAGACCGGUGCCAGCCGCCGCGGUAAUACCGGCGGCUCGAGUGGUGGCCGAUAUUAUUGAGUCUAAAGGGUCCGUAGCCGGCUUUGCAAGUCUCUCGGGAAAUCCAGCGGCUUAACCGUUGGUCGUCCGGGGGGUACUACAUUGCUUGGGACUGGGAGAGGUAGGAGGUACUCAGGGGGUAGGAGUGAAAUCCUGUAAUCCUUUGGGGACCACCGGUGGCGAAGGCGUCCUACCAGAACAGGUCCGACGGAGGGACGAAAGCUAGGGGCACGAACCGGAUUAGAUACCCGGGUAGUCCUAGCCGUAAACGAUGCUCGCUAGGUGUCAGGCAUGGCGCGACCGUGUCUGGUGCCGCAGGGAAGCCGUGAAGCGAGCCACUUGGGAAGUACGACCGCAAGGUUGAAACUUAAAGGAAUUGGCGGGGGAGCACA